GGUUCUAAUGAGUGUUUCUUCUUGUUCAUGGUACAGAGGAAGGGUCACACUACCACCAGGUCAUAAAACUAUACUCCUGGAAAUGUCAAAGACUCCUAGGAAAGCCUAGCCAAAUAUGUGUUUCUUUAGGUUCAGGGUACAGAGGAAGGGUCAAACUACCACCAGGGUCAUAAAACUACCCCUGGAAAUGCCCCAAACUCCUACGAAAGCCUUGCCAAAUAUGUUUCUUUAGGUUCAUGGUACAGAGGAAGGGUCACACUACCACCAGGGUCAUAAAACUACCCCCUGGAAAUGCCCUAAACUCCCUUGAAAGCCUUGUCAAAUGUGUGUUUCUCUAGGUUCACGGUACAGAAGAAUGGUCAAACUACCACCAGGGUCUUAAAACUACCCCUGGAAAUACCCAAACUCCUACGAAAGCCUUGCCAAAUGUGUUUUUUUUGGUUCAUGGUACAGAGGAAGGGUCAAACUACCACAAGGGUCAUAAAACUACUCCUGGAAAUACCCAAAACUCCCUUGAAAGCCUUGUCAAAUGUGUGUUUCUUUAGGUUCAGGGUACAGAGGAAGGGUCAAACUACCACCAGGAUCAUAAAACUACCCCCUGAAAAUGCAUAAAACUCCCUCGAAAACCUUGUCAAAUGUGUGUUUCUUUAAGUUCAUGGUACAGAAGGAUGAUCAAACUACCACAAGUGUCCUAAAACUAUCCCUGGAAAUGCCCCAAACUCCUACGAAAGCCUUGCCAAAUAUGUUUCUUUAGGUUCAUGGUACAGAGGAAGGGUCACACUACCACCAGGGUCAUAAAACUACCCCCUGGAAAUGCCCUAAACUCCCUUGAAAGCCUUGUCAAAUGUGUGUUUCUCUAGGUUCACGGUACAGAAGAAUGGUCACACUACCACCAG
This is a long non-coding RNA of Eriocheir sinensis (Chinese mitten crab), 896 nucleotides long. RefSeq lists it as uncharacterized. NCBI's taxonomy places the organism in Eukaryota, Metazoa, Arthropoda, Malacostraca, Decapoda, Varunidae. The transcript is spliced from 3 exons. The record is from RefSeq and is a predicted model, not a curated record.